GAUUAGCACUCUCCUUGAUAAGGAUGGAAGAGGUCCUAAUGACUUUUAAAACUCACAUAUGGUUAAGGCGUUGCCAUUUACUUUGUGGCAUCUAACAUCGUUAAUGU
Molecule: non-coding RNA, 107 nt
Filed under: Chelonoidis abingdonii (Abingdon island giant tortoise)
Lineage: Eukaryota; Metazoa; Chordata; Testudines; Testudinidae
Source: RNAcentral